RNAcentral lists this ribosomal RNA (253 nucleotides) under uncultured bacterium. RNAcentral describes it as "partial 16S ribosomal RNA". It matches the Rfam family "Bacterial small subunit ribosomal RNA", at positions 524 to 776 of the family's 1533-position model. The record is from RNAcentral.
UACGGGGGGGGCAAGCGUUGUUCGGAAUUACUGGGCGUAAAGGGCGCGUAGGCGGCCUUCUAAGUCGGACGUGAAAUCCCUCGGCUUAACCGAGGAACUGCGUCCGAUACUGAAAGGCUUGAAUCCGGGAGAGGGAUGUGGAAUUCCAGGUGUAGCGGUGAAAUGCGUAGAUAUCUGGAGGAACACCGGUGGCGAAGGCGGCAUCCUGGACCGGUAUUGACGCUGAGGCGCGAAAGCUAGGGGAGCGAACGGG